Molecule: non-coding RNA, 54 nt
Organism: Salmo salar (Atlantic salmon)
Lineage: Eukaryota; Metazoa; Chordata; Actinopteri; Salmoniformes; Salmonidae
Source: Rfam
UGCACUCACAGUUGUAAGUCGCUUUGGAUAAAAACAUCUGCUAAAUUGCAUUAC